CUUGAAUCAAAAGUCGUGGCAGUCGACCCC
This 30-nucleotide non-coding RNA is filed under the name Homo sapiens (human). The record is from RNAcentral. Lineage: Eukaryota; Metazoa; Chordata; Mammalia; Primates; Hominidae.